GGAGUGGGCCGGACGGCCGCGCGUCCGCAAGGAUGUGAGGAAAGUCCGGACUCCGAUGGGCAGGGUGCCUGCUAACGGCAGGGCGCGGCGACGCGACGGAAAGUGCCACAGAAAAGGAAACUCCCCCGCCUUCGGGCGGGAGAAAAGCUGAAACGGUGCGGUAAGAGCGCACCAGCGUCACGGCAACGUGGCGGCUUGGCAAACCCCACCCGGAGCAAGGGCAAAUAGGAGCGGCUAAGGCUGGCCCGGCCAUCGCUCGGGUAUGCCCGCGUGAGGCCGCCGGCGACGGCGGUCCCAGAUAGAUGGUCGUCUACGACAGAAUCCGGCUUACAGGCCCACUCCACCG
This 346-nucleotide RNase P RNA is filed under the name Actinomycetes bacterium. RNAcentral's name for it is "RNase P RNA component class A". It matches the Rfam family "Bacterial RNase P class A". From Rfam's summary of the family: Ribonuclease P (RNase P) is a ubiquitous endoribonuclease, found in archaea, bacteria and eukarya as well as chloroplasts and mitochondria. Lineage: Bacteria; Bacillati; Actinomycetota; Actinomycetes. The record is from RNAcentral.